AAUAAUUUGAGAUGAUAACCAUACAAGAUCUUGUUUAGCUUCAAAUAAGAGAAAAACGUUUGAUGGGUAAUGAUUUAUGAAGCACGAAACAUCUAAAUGAGGCAUGAGAAGGUUAUUGCACAUAACUGACGAUCCAAUGUUUAAAAUUAAGUUGCAUUUGGAGUACAUGGUAUGACAAGUUUGAAUCCUGACUAUAUAGUCUAAAAACAAUAAGAUCAGCUUUUACAAAGUUGCUUCUGGUUGAACAUCUAGGAGGGUCCUAGGCUUCGUCAAACAUCUCAUGAGAUUUGGUGCCAACUGGUUCAAUGUCUAAGAGCAUUGUCACAUCAAAUUUUUCAUGAGAUCUGAAGCACCGUAGAAAGAAUGCUUGCUAUCAAGAUUGAAGAAAAUUUAUUUGAUCUGCAAACAAUACUUUAGGAUACUUAAAAAAGUUCAAUGACCCAUAAAGAAUACCUUCUUAAAAUGAUAUCUCUUCUUGAUCGGAAAACAACAUGAGGACGAUCUAUUAUGAGAGGCUGAUUUGGUGAAGAAUACAGUCCCCGUAUCAAAACUUUAAUUACUUGUCCAACACUUGUUUCUCUUACAAAACUGACUAUAAUGAUCAUAGGAUACUAAUAAAAAAUCUAAGUUUUGCCUUCCAUGCCCUGCAAUUCAAAACAAUCGUCAAUAACAU
RNAcentral lists this long non-coding RNA (673 nucleotides) under Vitis vinifera (wine grape). Its description in RNAcentral is "long non-coding RNA (VVIN_LNC006685)". Lineage: Eukaryota; Viridiplantae; Streptophyta; Magnoliopsida; Vitales; Vitaceae. The record is from RNAcentral.